UACGGAGGGUGCGAGCGUUAAUCGGAAUUACUGGGCGUAAAGCGCGCGUAGGCGGUUUGGUAAGUUGGGUGUGAAAGCCCUGGGCUCAACCUGGGAAUUGCAUUCGAUACUGCCUGACUAGAGUACGGUAGAGGGGGGUAGAAUUCCCGGUGUAGCGGUGAAAUGCGUAGAUAUCGGGAGGAAUACCAGUGGCGAAGGCGGCCCCCUGGACUGAUACUGACGCUGAGGUGCGAAAGCGUGGGGAGCAAACAGG
RNAcentral lists this ribosomal RNA (253 nucleotides) under uncultured bacterium. RNAcentral describes it as "partial 16S ribosomal RNA". It matches the Rfam family "Bacterial small subunit ribosomal RNA", at positions 524 to 776 of the family's 1533-position model. The record is from RNAcentral.